UACUGCUAUCGGGGUCCGACUAAGCCAUGCGAGUUGAAUGUCCGAAAGGGCAUAGCGCACUGCUCAGUAACACGUGGACAACCUGCCCUGAGGACUGGAAUAAUCCCGGGAAACUGGGGGUAAUUCCAGAUAUGUCAGAACUCCUGGAAUGGGUUCUGGCAGAAAGGCUCCGGCGCCUCAGGAUGGGUCUGCGGCCUAUCAGGGUAGUAGUGGGUGUAACGUACCUACUAGCCUACGACGGGUACGGGUUGUGAGAGCAAGAGCCCGGAGAUGGAUUCUGAGACAUGAAUCCAGGCCCUACGGGGUGCAGCAGGCGCGAAAACUUUACAAUGCGGGCAACCGCGAUAAGGGGACCUCGAGUGCUGGGUUACAAACCUGGCUGUUGGGCUGCCUAAAAAGCAGUCUAUAGC
This 410-nucleotide ribosomal RNA is filed under the name uncultured archaeon. Its description in RNAcentral is "bacterial SSU rRNA". It matches the Rfam family "Archaeal small subunit ribosomal RNA", at positions 25 to 437 of the family's 1478-position model. The record is from RNAcentral.